Long non-coding RNA from Ziziphus jujuba (common jujube), 529 nucleotides. RefSeq lists it as uncharacterized. The record is from RefSeq and is a predicted model, not a curated record. The transcript is spliced from 2 exons. NCBI's taxonomy places the organism in Eukaryota, Viridiplantae, Streptophyta, Magnoliopsida, Rosales, Rhamnaceae.
CCAGAUUCUUCUUCUCCCUUAAGAAAAUAAAUUUGAGACUAAAAUUUCUUGCUUUCUUCAUUUUAUCUGAUUGAGGAAUAUUGAGGAUUGACCAAACGCAAAAGCGACUGGAUAUUCAGAUUCCUCAGGUACCGCAUCAAGCACUGGUAAUACAGAAUCAAGCACAGAUGGCAAUAAGUCUAUACAUGGUAAUACAGAGUCGAGCACAGAUGGCAAUAAGCUUAUACAUGGUCAAGAAUCAAGCACAGAUGGCAAUAAGCUCAUACAUGGUCAUAUGUCAUACAAGGCAUGUGCUGUUAAAGGCAAGACAUGUGCUGUUAAUAGUAGAGGAACCGAUCAUCAAGGCAAUCACCAAAGUCAACGCAAUACCAAGCAUCGAUGACAGUUACUCUCUCUGAUAUGCAAGCUUCCAUAUACGUGAUAUGUAAUAACAGUAUAUAUUGAUCAACUUGUAUCAUAAGAAAACAGUGGAGUGGAAAUAUAAUAAUAAUUUCUCUUGAAAAUCUUUAUGGUAUCAGAGCCACAUCCU